Molecule: ribosomal RNA, 810 nt
Filed under: Triticum aestivum (bread wheat)
Lineage: Eukaryota; Viridiplantae; Streptophyta; Magnoliopsida; Poales; Poaceae
Description: partial small subunit ribosomal RNA
Source: RNAcentral
AUGGAGCAUAUCGCGAGGUUCUUCUUCGGGGUCUCAGGCAAUGUUAUCGCUCUGUUCCUCUUCCUGUCGCCGGUCGUCACCUUCUGGAGGAUCAUCAAGAGGAAGUCGACGGAGGACUUCUCCGGCGUGCCAUACAACAUGACGCUGCUCAACUGCCUCCUAUCCGCAUGGUACGGGCUGCCGUUCGUGUCCCCGAACAACAUCCUGGUGACGACGAUCAACGGCGCGGGGUCGGUGAUCGAGGCAAUCUACGUGGUCAUCUUCCUCAUCUUCGCGGAGCGCAAGGCCAAGAUCCGGAUGCUGGGCCUCCUCAGCGUGGUCACCACCAUCUUCGCCACGGUGGUGCUGGUGUCGCUGCUGGCGCUGCACGGCAAGGCUCGCACGGUCUUCUGCGGCCUCGCCGCCACCGUCUUCUCCAUCUGCAUGUACGCCUCGCCGCUCUCCAUCAUGAGGUUGGUGAUCAAGACCAAGAGCGUGGAGUACAUGCCGUUCCUGCUGUCGCUCUCCGUGUUCCUCUGCGGCACCUCCUGGUUCAUCUACGGCCUGCUCGGCCUCGACCCCUUCAUCUACAUCCCCAACGGGUGCGGGAGCUUCCUGGGCCUGAUGCAGCUCAUCCUCUACGCCAUCUACCGGAAGAACAAGGGCCCCGCUGCCGGCGCCGUGCCGGCCGGCAAGGGGGAGGACGCCGGCGACGAGGCCGACGAGGUGGAGGACGCCAAGAAGGCGGCCGCGGCGGUGGAGAUGGGCGAGGCAAAGAUCAAGGUCAAUGACGACACCGCCGUCGUCGACAAGGUCGCCGCCCAGGUGUAG